RNAcentral lists this long non-coding RNA (818 nucleotides) under Homo sapiens (human). RNAcentral's name for it is "HSALNT0392252". Lineage: Eukaryota; Metazoa; Chordata; Mammalia; Primates; Hominidae. The record is from RNAcentral.
CCUCGGCCAGGCCCCGGCAGCAGAAGGGAGGCAGCUGUGCUGCAAACUACUGGAGUCCGGACAUGCAGGACCGCAGGCUGCAGGCUCCCAUUUGGCAGAAAGGACUUUUGCUGAAAUCCCCAGCGGGGCACUCGACCCCUCUAGUGGGUUGUGCCAUGCACUCCAUUGUCGCCGCCCCCGACCGGCCCCUGGCACCGUGUCCCUCCUACCUGAGCAGGCUCUGACUCCAGCCCUGGACACAGCUGGGGUGGCCACGGUGACUGCUGAGAAGAGGGGCUGUCCACACAGCCUGGUGGCUUGGAGCCCCGGGACCCCCACACCUGGGUCAGGGUGGGGCCGGAUGAGGUCUGAGCAGGCGCCCGACAGCCCCGUGUGCAGGAGACGCACAGCACUCACCGACCCCAGGCGUGACUACGUUUGAGGCAACCAUGAAGGCUUCAGACAUUCAAACUUCUUAAUAGACCAGGCGUGGUGGCUCACGCCUGGAAUCCCAGCACUUUGGGAGGCUGAGAUAAAAUCCUAGAAGUGAAAUGGCUGGAGAGAGAGUUACAGCAGAGCCAGGUUCUCCGUCCUGCGCGGUUUCUAAGUGAAAUGGCUGGAGAGAGAGUCACAGCAGAGCCAGGGGCUCCAUCCUGCGCGGUUUCUGCAUUUGGUGUUGAGUUGUCCUUUCUGCAUCGGAAUUCUGACUCCUGAAAUCACAUUUCUCACCGUGUCUAGGUCAUACUUUCAAUAAUCUUUCAAUAACCUUUCUGCUGCUUUUUUUUUUGGAGACGGAGUCUUGCUCUGUCGCCCAGGCUGGAGUGCAAUGCAAUGGCGUG